AAGAGUACCAAACAUCCAGUCCAUCCAUAUUGUGUAAUGACCAUAAUUAUGUCGAUAUGUUGUAUGGUGAAUAGUAUGAUAGCCAGCACCCAUUACAGGCCACACCUUCCCAUGUAUGCAGUCAUGAAUAUUAGCAGUCCAUAAGGCUUCCACGAAUAUGAGCGCUAUGUGUGUAGUGAAAUGCAUU
Long non-coding RNA from Solanum stenotomum, 187 nucleotides. RefSeq lists it as uncharacterized. The transcript has 2 exons. The record is from RefSeq and is a predicted model, not a curated record. NCBI's taxonomy places the organism in Eukaryota, Viridiplantae, Streptophyta, Magnoliopsida, Solanales, Solanaceae.